This 500-nucleotide ribosomal RNA is filed under the name uncultured bacterium. Its description in RNAcentral is "partial 16S ribosomal RNA". It matches the Rfam family "Bacterial small subunit ribosomal RNA", at positions 28 to 507 of the family's 1533-position model. The record is from RNAcentral.
GACGAACGCUGGCGGCGUGCUUAACACAUGCAAGUCGAACGGGUCUGCCCUGUUUUUUGCGGGGUGGGUCAGUGGCGAACGGGUGAGUAACACGUGAGUAACCUGCCCCUCACUUCUGGAUAACCGCUUGAAAGGGUGGCUAAUACGGGGUGUUCUGGCUGUGCCGCAUGGUGUGGCUGGGAAAGAUUCACUUUUGUGGUGUUUUGGUGGGGGAUGGGCUCGCGGCCUAUCAGCUUGUUGGUGGGGUGAUGGCCUGCCAAGGCUUUGACGGGUAGCCGGCCUGAGAGGGUGGGCGGUCACACUGGGACUGAGAUACGGCCCAGACUCCUGCGGGAGGCAGCAGUGGGGGGUAUUGCACAAUGGGCGGAAGCCUGAUGCAGCGACGUCGCGUGAGGGAUGGAGGCCUUCGGGUUGUGAACUCCUUUCGCCGGUGAAGAAGGUCCUGCUCUUUGUGGUGGGGUUGACGGUAGCCGGGUUAUGAAGCGCCGGCUAACUACGUG